Molecule: long non-coding RNA, 1373 nt
Organism: Falco peregrinus (peregrine falcon)
Lineage: Eukaryota; Metazoa; Chordata; Aves; Falconiformes; Falconidae
Exons: 2
Source: RefSeq, a predicted model, not a curated record
CAUUCCUAUAUGCAUAAAGAAGUAUAUUGAUAAUGGGAAAUGUGAAAAAGCAUCUAUAGAUAUUUGAAAUACUCAAUAUUAUAGUUGCUUCAAAGCUGUGAAUUCUUUUAGCCACGCAACCUUAGGAAACACACAGACACUGAGUGCAAAUACAAUUACAUGCCUGAUCACCUUGACCUGCUGGUGUACGCUACACACGUCAACCCAGAAAGAUCACGUAUGUGUGUGUGCAGCUGAGACUCUUGCUUAGCAGAAGGGUGCUAUCUGCCCAACCUUCCCAUCUGACUGACCUCAGGGGCUUCACUGGGGUUUGUCUGUAACCCUAAACACGCACAGGGAGCUGAACUGCUGUCCAAAUAAGCAUUUUCCUUUUAUUUUUUUUUUUGGUAGAUCUAGGAACUCAGGUCUUUGGGGAGCUAAAGACUGUCAUUAAACUUAACAGACUGGCAGCACACGCUUAAUCAUAUAGAACCUCUUCGCUUUAUGUGGUGUUUGAAAUCCAGAAGCUCAUUAAGAACAUGUGGUGCUACCUCCUUGACAUGAAACUUCUGCCUCUUCUACCUCCAUUUCCCACCCUCUGAAGGCCUCUAGGAGUCUGAGUUUUGCAAACACUGAAUAUUUAGCACAUGAAAUGGAGCGCGAUGGCUGUUCCACGUUUCACGACGGAUGCGGAGAACCAAGCAGCUGUGUUCACGUCUAUAGCGGAUUUUUUGAUCAGCAAGUACUUGUGAAUGGGAAAACUAUGUAUGCUUUGACAGCAGAACUCCACUGUUCCUGCCAGUGCUUCUGUGGAAAAGCAAACUGCACUUAGCCAGGAGCACCACAGACACGAUGGCCAGAGCUUGACUGCAUGUGGAAAUUAGAGUCAAAACACAACAGUUCCCAGAUGCUAUCUGUAUCUUCCUUUGGAGACCCUUUACUUCUCUGUAAAGCUCUUCCUUUCUUUCUUUUUUGUUUUUUUUAAGAACCCUUUUUGUUUUAAUUUUAUUCCUGUGACUAUCAGGUUUGGAUAAUAGACCAGCUAGUUAUUUUCUGCAGAUUUACUGAAGUCUCAUAAAUUUGUUCUGUAAUAGUGCUCUUUAGCAUCUGCUGUUUGGUUACUUGCAUCUGUGUUGAUCACUGCUGUUGUUGUUUUAAUUAUCUUCAUAAUAGCUUGCUCCAAAUUCACAGACCCUGGAGCCUUACAUCAACAGAAAUCUUCCUUUAAAAAAAAUUUAAAAAGAGUAAUUGUUGCCCAGAGUCAAACCUAAGCUGUUAUAUAGUGGUGGUGUCUAUUGUGCGAUCUGCUAUGUUGCGCCUGUACUGUUUUUGGGUUGUCUCCGGUUGAACAUCUUUAUACUAAUCUGAGUUACUGUAAUAAAAUGAUUACAACA